CGAAGCACGCCUCCACAAGAUGCUAUAUGCCUGAUUGUUGCACCACAACACCAUCAUAGUUUAGUUAACUUGUAGUGGUCCAGGGGGUGGUGGACUCCUAGAUGACAUGACUAGUAUGCAUAUGAAGUUGAAAAAUAAUCUUCACCUGCAAAUAAGUUCUCUUGAUGUUAGCACAAACCUCAUACGCGCACAAUAAAACAACCUAUCUAGUCCAGUCCAUCCAUCUAUUAUUAUCAAAAUCCAUCCAAUUCAUUCAUUCAUUUUGUCAUCACUAAUCCUCCUACCCAUUAUAUGUGGCAUCAAAAUUUAACAAUUUAUUAGGUCUUUAAUAUCCUCGAUUAAGGUGUUCUCAUUUAUCAUAUACUUUAUGCCAUUUCGCACUACU
RNAcentral lists this long non-coding RNA (385 nucleotides) under Medicago truncatula (barrel medic). Its description in RNAcentral is "long non-coding RNA (MTRU_LNC002515)". Lineage: Eukaryota; Viridiplantae; Streptophyta; Magnoliopsida; Fabales; Fabaceae. The record is from RNAcentral.